CAAUAGCGUAUAUUAAAGUUGUUGCAGUUAAAAAGCUCGUAGUUGGAUUUCUGGUGGGAGCGAUCGGUCUGGCGCUUAGCGCGAGUACUUGCAUCGUCUCCGGCCAUCCUUGGGGGGAGUCUGUCUGGCAUUAGGUUGUCGGGCAGAGGAUCCUCAUCGUUUACUGUGAAAAAAUUAGAGUGUUCAAAGCAGGCUUAUGCCGUUGAAUAUAUUAGCAUGGAAUAAUAAGAUAGGACUUUGGUACUAUUUUGUUGGUUUGCGCACCAAAGUAAUGAUUAAUAGGGACAGUUGGGGGUAUUCGUAUUCCGUUGUCAGAGGUGAAAUUCUUGGAUUUACGGAAGACGAACUACUGCGAAAGCAUUUACCAAGGAUGUUUUCAUUAA
RNAcentral lists this ribosomal RNA (383 nucleotides) under uncultured eukaryote. RNAcentral describes it as "partial 18S ribosomal RNA". It matches the Rfam family "Eukaryotic small subunit ribosomal RNA", at positions 592 to 976 of the family's 1831-position model. The record is from RNAcentral.